Molecule: ribosomal RNA, 2925 nt
Filed under: Escherichia coli str. K-12 substr. MG1655
Lineage: Bacteria; Pseudomonadati; Pseudomonadota; Gammaproteobacteria; Enterobacterales; Enterobacteriaceae
Description: 23S ribosomal RNA
Rfam family: Bacterial large subunit ribosomal RNA
Source: RNAcentral
GGGUUGUGAGGUUAAGCGACUAAGCGUACACGGUGGAUGCCCUGGCAGUCAGAGGCGAUGAAGGACGUGCUAAUCUGCGAUAAGCGUCGGUAAGGUGAUAUGAACCGUUAUAACCGGCGAUUUCCGAAUGGGGAAACCCAGUGUGUUUCGACACACUAUCAUUAACUGAAUCCAUAGGUUAAUGAGGCGAACCGGGGGAACUGAAACAUCUAAGUACCCCGAGGAAAAGAAAUCAACCGAGAUUCCCCCAGUAGCGGCGAGCGAACGGGGAGCAGCCCAGAGCCUGAAUCAGUAUGUGUGUUAGUGGAAGCGUCUGGAAAGGCGCGCGAUACAGGGUGACAGCCCCGUACACAAAAAUGCACAUAUUGUGAGCUCGAUGAGUAGGGCGGGACACGUGGUAUCCUGUCUGAAUAUGGGGGGACCAUCCUCCAAGGCUAAAUACUCCUGACUGACCGAUAGUGAACCAGUACCGUGAGGGAAAGGCGAAAAGAACCCCGGCGAGGGGAGUGAAAAAGAACCUGAAACCGUGUACGUACAAGCAGUGGGAGCACGCUUAGGCGUGUGACUGCGUACCUUUUGUAUAAUGGGUCAGCGACUUAUAUUCUGUAGCAAGGUUAACCGAAUAGGGGAGCCGAAGGGAAACCGAGUCUUAACUGGGCGUUAAGUUGCAGGGUAUAGACCCGAAACCCGGUGAUCUAGCCAUGGGCAGGUUGAAGGUUGGGUAACACUAACUGGAGGACCGAACCGACUAAUGUUGAAAAAUUAGCGGAUGACUUGUGGCUGGGGGUGAAAGGCCAAUCAAACCGGGAGAUAGCUGGUUCUCCCCGAAAGCUAUUUAGGUAGCGCCUCGUGAAUUCAUCUCCGGGGGUAGAGCACUGUUUCGGCAAGGGGGUCAUCCCGACUUACCAACCCGAUGCAAACUGCGAAUACCGGAGAAUGUUAUCACGGGAGACACACGGCGGGUGCUAACGUCCGUCGUGAAGAGGGAAACAACCCAGACCGCCAGCUAAGGUCCCAAAGUCAUGGUUAAGUGGGAAACGAUGUGGGAAGGCCCAGACAGCCAGGAUGUUGGCUUAGAAGCAGCCAUCAUUUAAAGAAAGCGUAAUAGCUCACUGGUCGAGUCGGCCUGCGCGGAAGAUGUAACGGGGCUAAACCAUGCACCGAAGCUGCGGCAGCGACGCUUAUGCGUUGUUGGGUAGGGGAGCGUUCUGUAAGCCUGCGAAGGUGUGCUGUGAGGCAUGCUGGAGGUAUCAGAAGUGCGAAUGCUGACAUAAGUAACGAUAAAGCGGGUGAAAAGCCCGCUCGCCGGAAGACCAAGGGUUCCUGUCCAACGUUAAUCGGGGCAGGGUGAGUCGACCCCUAAGGCGAGGCCGAAAGGCGUAGUCGAUGGGAAACAGGUUAAUAUUCCUGUACUUGGUGUUACUGCGAAGGGGGGACGGAGAAGGCUAUGUUGGCCGGGCGACGGUUGUCCCGGUUUAAGCGUGUAGGCUGGUUUUCCAGGCAAAUCCGGAAAAUCAAGGCUGAGGCGUGAUGACGAGGCACUACGGUGCUGAAGCAACAAAUGCCCUGCUUCCAGGAAAAGCCUCUAAGCAUCAGGUAACAUCAAAUCGUACCCCAAACCGACACAGGUGGUCAGGUAGAGAAUACCAAGGCGCUUGAGAGAACUCGGGUGAAGGAACUAGGCAAAAUGGUGCCGUAACUUCGGGAGAAGGCACGCUGAUAUGUAGGUGAAGCGACUUGCUCGUGGAGCUGAAAUCAGUCGAAGAUACCAGCUGGCUGCAACUGUUUAUUAAAAACACAGCACUGUGCAAACACGAAAGUGGACGUAUACGGUGUGACGCCUGCCCGGUGCCGGAAGGUUAAUUGAUGGGGUCAGCGCAAGCGAAGCUCUUGAUCGAAGCCCCGGUAAACGGCGGCCGUAACUAUAACGGUCCUAAGGUAGCGAAAUUCCUUGUCGGGUAAGUUCCGACCUGCACGAAUGGCGUAAUGAUGGCCAGGCUGUCUCCACCCGAGACUCAGUGAAAUUGAACUCGCUGUGAAGAUGCAGUGUACCCGCGGCAAGACGGAAAGACCCCGUGAACCUUUACUAUAGCUUGACACUGAACAUUGAGCCUUGAUGUGUAGGAUAGGUGGGAGGCUUUGAAGUGUGGACGCCAGUCUGCAUGGAGCCGACCUUGAAAUACCACCCUUUAAUGUUUGAUGUUCUAACGUGGACCCGUGAUCCGGGUUGCGGACAGUGUCUGGUGGGUAGUUUGACUGGGGCGGUCUCCUCCUAAAGAGUAACGGAGGAGCACGAAGGUUGGCUAAUCCUGGUCGGACAUCAGGAGGUUAGUGCAAUGGCAUAAGCCAGCUUGACUGCGAGCGUGACGGCGCGAGCAGGUGCGAAAGCAGGUCAUAGUGAUCCGGUGGUUCUGAAUGGAAGGGCCAUCGCUCAACGGAUAAAAGGUACUCCGGGGAUAACAGGCUGAUACCGCCCAAGAGUUCAUAUCGACGGCGGUGUUUGGCACCUCGAUGUCGGCUCAUCACAUCCUGGGGCUGAAGUAGGUCCCAAGGGUAUGGCUGUUCGCCAUUUAAAGUGGUACGCGAGCUGGGUUUAGAACGUCGUGAGACAGUUCGGUCCCUAUCUGCCGUGGGCGCUGGAGAACUGAGGGGGGCUGCUCCUAGUACGAGAGGACCGGAGUGGACGCAUCACUGGUGUUCGGGUUGUCAUGCCAAUGGCACUGCCCGGUAGCUAAAUGCGGAAGAGAUAAGUGCUGAAAGCAUCUAAGCACGAAACUUGCCCCGAGAUGAGUUCUCCCUGACCCUUUAAGGGUCCUGAAGGAACGUUGAAGACGACGACGUUGAUAGGCCGGGUGUGUAAGCGCAGCGAUGCGUUGAGCUAACCGGUACUAAUGAACCGUGAGGCUUAACCUUACAACGCCGAAG